GGUGCUGUGUCUGAGAACCAGUACCUGGAUGGUUCAGAAACCCAUGUCAAAGAUAUCAGUUAGCCCUUAGGAAGGGCCUAGAUAGUGAUGCUUAAGGGACCCUCCAGUGAAGAUUUCUCCUGCCAGUCAGAAUCUAUCCAUGCCAGUGCCCAACAGUAUCAAGGGAACAGAACCAAGUAUCAGGCAAUUAAAGGUAUACCUUUGAAUAUUGAAGUUCUAGUUUUAGCAACACAACUACCUGUUUGACAACCCUAUUGUGCCAAACUGUAAAUGGCUAGUAAAGUGGACACUGGAAGGACAUCAGUGACACCUCACAUUUCAAGGACGUUGCAAUUUAACUACCCUGCCCAUUUCUAAGAGAAAGAGAGAAAGCAAGCAAGCAAGCAAUCUGGCUAUUGUCCUAAUGGAUGAACCAUUGAAGAUGGAUGAACCAUUGAUCAAGACUUACUGUGCUUAUAAAACGGUUUAGUACAAGUUAACCUUUGCUUAAAUGAAACCUGGUUCAUCUCCAUAUGAUUAAUAAUAGAGAUGCCAAACAUGGCAUUUUUCAGAUUAUCAUGCAAAAAAAAAAACUCUGCUGCUCCAACAGUAUCUCAUAUUAGUCUUAUUAAAUCCUUGGAAGCAUGUCCUUUUAAUUUCCAAAUACCUAAUAUUUACUUUCCAAAUCCCACAUAAAUUUGAAAACCAAAUAUGCUUUCCAUGCAGUGUUAUAAAGCUGCUGGCACUGCAUCAAAUUGCUCAGCAUUAAAGGCAUCUGACCCCAUCAAUUCACUGGGGCGGGGGUGGGAGAGCUCCCUACCUGCUAAAUGAAGAUAUGUUGAGCUAGGAUUCAUGGGUGGUGUAACGGACUUGCCCCACCCUGAAGGGCUGGUGUGAAGCAGGCCUGCUUGAAAAGGCCUUAGUGACAGCCAGAGUUGAAGAGAAGGCUCUACUAUACAAAAGAACCCACUUGAUUGGUCGAGCAGAAGCACAGUUGCCUUUGGCCAGGGAUAGGGGGAGCUAAAGUGCUGGCAGCAUAAAUAGACAGAGCAGAGCCUGUCAGGGGUUUUUCACACUCUCUGAAGAGAUUCUGACACAGAGAUCAGAAGGAGCCAGAG
Sphaerodactylus townsendi is the source of this 1097-nucleotide long non-coding RNA. RefSeq lists it as uncharacterized. The record is from RefSeq and is a predicted model, not a curated record. The transcript is spliced from 3 exons. Lineage: Eukaryota; Metazoa; Chordata; Lepidosauria; Squamata; Sphaerodactylidae.